UCCAGACUCCUACGGGAGGCAGCAGUGGGGAAUAUUGCACAAUGGGGGAAACCCUGAUGCAGCGACGCCGCGUGAGCGAUGAAGUAUUUCGGUAUGUAAAGCUCUAUCAGCAGGGAAGAAAAUGACGGUACCUGACUAAGAAGCCCCGGCUAAAUACGUGCCAGCAGCCGCGGUAAUACGUAUGGGGCAAGCGUUAUCCGGAUUUACUGGGUGUAAAGGGAGCGUAGGCGGCCUGGCAAGCCUGAUGUGAAAUACCGGGGCCCAACCCCGGGGCUGCAUUGGGAACUGCCAGGCUGGAGUGCCGGAGAGGCAGGCGGAAUUCCUAGUGUAGCGGUGAAAUGCGUAGAUAUUAGGAGGAACACCAGUGGCGAAGGCGGCUUGCUGGACUGUAAAUGACGCUGAGGCUCGAAAGCGUGGGGAGCAAACAGGAUUAGAUACCCUAGUAC
This 446-nucleotide ribosomal RNA is filed under the name uncultured bacterium. RNAcentral's name for it is "bacterial SSU rRNA". It matches the Rfam family "Bacterial small subunit ribosomal RNA", at positions 330 to 793 of the family's 1533-position model. The record is from RNAcentral.